Oryctolagus cuniculus (rabbit) is the source of this 13459-nucleotide non-coding RNA. NCBI's taxonomy places the organism in Eukaryota, Metazoa, Chordata, Mammalia, Lagomorpha, Leporidae. The record is from RefSeq and is a predicted model, not a curated record.
GGGACCGGGAGCGGGCGCGCGCGCGCGAGAGAGAGGGAGACGGCUGAUGGCGCCAUCUUGGGAGUGGCAAAAACCAGGCCGCCCGUGGGUGGGAGCGGGGCCUUGGCCCCAGGCAUGGCGCUCUUCCGGGGGUUUCUGGGGCUCGCUACGAGCGCGGAGCACUCGCCUGUCGGGGAAUGUGAUGAGUGAUGUGAGUCUCGGUCACGGGACGGCAAGCUUCAGUGAGGCCUGGGCUGCCAUGUUGAGGGCUCUGACUUUGGCGGUCAUUUGGGGAAGGUUCUAUAUUUUGGACCGCCCAGCCACCGUACUGGGGCCACGUUCCCAUCGCCGCGUCCGGGCCUGGAGUGUAAGGGUUUUUGCACCCCUCAGGGUGAGGUGAAGCUCCUGAGCCCCGGGGUGGCCCCAGGGAGAAGCGGGCCGAGGCUGGGCGCGAGGGCGCCGGAGGGGCCUGCGGCCUGGAUCCCUGGCUGGCCACGCCCCUUCCGCCAGCCAGCGGGGCCCUCCGGGGGCCUCAGGGCGCGGGCCUGCGUCGGCCGGACCCCGGCGCUGCCCCUGCCCGGGUCGGUGCCGGGGGCGUCCGAGGCCUGCCGGCCGCCGUGGAGGCCCGGGGAGUGGGCAGCGGGCCUCGGGACGCCGCCUUGCCCCGCUGCCGCCCGUCAGGAUGGCGGGCGCGCAGUGUCCCGGCCCGUGUGCGGGCAGGCUGUGCGGCUGAGGAGGACCCGUCCAUGACCUUGCAGGCGGAUCCUGCCCUCCCAUCCCCCGUGAGCGACACCUCGGGGAUCACCGCCUUGCACCGCGGUGCUGUUUGGGGAGAAAUCCCACGAGUGACAGCCCUCUGCACAGCCGGGUCCCGGAACAAGGGGCGCGGGGGAGACGUGGUGGGCCUGCAGCCAGAAGAGCUCCGGUUUUGUGUUCUCGUUAAAGCUGCCCGACUCUCUCGGGUCCGAAGUCCGCGAGGGCAGCCCAGAGCCGCCGCCGCCUGCUCCCAGGCCCUCGCGCGGUCCUGCGGGCUGCCCCUGCUCCCUGGUGGGGUAGGAGGCAGCGGAGAGGAGUACUGUCUAGGCCGAAGGUUUCCUUCCUUCCUUUCGUUUUUUAAAGACUGGUUUAUUCGAGGGAGUUACAGAGAGAGGGGUUGAAAGGUCUUCCACCCACUGGUUCACUCCCCAGCUUAGGCCGGAGCCAGCCGCUCCAUGCGGGUCUCCCACGUGUGCAGGGGCCCAAGCACUGGGGCCGGGCUCUGCUGCUCUCCCAGGCCGCAGCAGGGAGCUGGCCUGGAAGCGGAGCAGCUGGGAUUCAGCCUGGUGCCCGUACGGGAUGCUGGUGGUGCAGGCGGCGGCUUUACCUGCUGCACCGCAGGGCCGGCCUUGAGGCUGCCUUGUAGAAGCAAGCGUCCCAGAGAGGGUUAAAGUGCGCCUGGGAGGCUGAGCUCCACUUCCCAUCAGGCUCCAGAUGCCCUGGGCGGGGCGGUUCUCCAGUUGCUGCACCCAGGAGCCUGUGCUGUCUUUCUGCCUUCCGUAAAUCCUGUCCGGUUGUGUUCUGACUUGUGCAGAGAUGAGAACCAGGACUGGGCCCAGCUGCAGCUCUUUCCAAGGGCCCUUGAUCCCCGCAGCACUCCGGCCCUUCCACCCAUGUGUGAGGCAGAGUGGACAGUGAGAGAGAGAGAGAGAAAGGUCUUCCUUUGCAGUUGGUUCACCCUCCAGUGGCCGCCACGCUGGCGUGCUGUGGCUGGCACACCGCGCUGAUCCGAUGGCAGGAGCCAGGUGCUUCUCCUGGUCUCCCAUGGGGUGCAGGGCCCAAGCACUUGGGCCAUCCUCCACUGCACUCCCGGGCCACAGCAGAGAGCUGGCCUGGAAGAGGGGCAACCGGGACAGAAUCCGGCGCCCUGACUGGGACUAGAACCCGGUGUGCUGGCGCUGCAAGGCAGAGGAUUAGCCUAGUGAGCCACGGCGCCGGCCUGUCCCUCUCUGUCACUCUGGCUUUUCAAUAAAUAAAUUUUUUCUUUUUAAAGCGCUGCUUGGUGUCAGUUGCCCAGGUUCAAAUCCGACUCCACUACUUAGAAGCUGUGGACUCAGACCUCUGGGCCUGAGUCCCUGUCUGCGAGAUGCGAUGAGUGUUGGGGCUCCAUCUUCUCACGCCCACAGCCACGCCGCAGGUUUCGUCUGUUCAGAUCGUCCGUGGAGAGAUGGAGGUUGUCGGUGCUUCCCUGAGAGGCUGCGCCCUCUGAUGGCGGCGGCAGUGGGGCAGCUGGGAAGUGCCUUUUUCCCCGCAGCCUUGGGUCCCUCACCUGAGGCCGGUCUAGCUUCUUGAUGUAGGCACUGAUCGCUGUGAACACGGCUCCUCAGCCUGCUGUUGCUGUGUCCCACAGUUAAUGUGCUGUGUUGUCGUCUGUACUCGUUUCUCAGGGUGUUGUGACUUCUUGGUGACUCACCGUUGGUUCAGGAGCGUGUUGGGUGGGCUCCCCGUGUUUGUGUCUUUUCUGGAGUUUCCCUGGCCACCGUCGCAAGAUGGCUCCCUUCCUGAGCGCGGUCUUGCAGCCUGUCAGCUGGCAGGUGGGGCCCACAGGGAAGGGGUAAGAAUGCGGCUAGUGUAGUCGGUGACAGGUGUCACAAGAGCGGUGACCUGCCAGCCACAGUCCACAAGCUGCCGCCCAGGCCUGGGCUGAGAGGAGGGAGCAGAGGCGAAGCCCCGCCCCCACCCAUCAGGCCUGGGAGUGGGCGCCCGUCUUCUGCGUCGCCCGCUGUGUGACUUUGGGCCUGACAGAGGAGCCGGUGCACCUCCCAGGGCCUGGAGUGUCGCAGGGGAGCCUUGACAAGGAGUUUUGGUUCCUCCUCCUCAAUUGUUCCCCUUCCUGCCCAGCCCCCUCCACUCCCACUUCGGGAAAGCCCCUGGUUUGCUGCCCAGUUGUGCUCCAGAAGCUGGGCUCGCGGGGAGGGGACCCACGAUGCAGUGUGGCAGACCUGGGCCCAUGUGGCCUGGUGUGCUGCCCCCAGGGAGGCUCCUGGGGGAGGGCCAUGGGGUGGACUGGUGAAUGACGUGAUGGACAGCUGCUGGCUCCCUGUAGGGCCCAUCAGGUCCUGCUGCCCUCCUGGGGCCAGCCUGGCUCUGCCUGCAGUGGACUACGGUCCACAGGCCCACCCUGACCGCCCAACACGGUACUGCCCUGGCUCCCUUGGAGAACAACAGCACGAGCUGAGCUCAGGCCUGGGCGGCUGUGGGUGGGGUUCGCUCCCCAUUGGUGGAUUUUGAUUCGUUCAUGUUUUGUUGUUUGUGUUCCUUCUGCAGAUCUGGCCUGUUUAGUGGCCGGAAUAGUGGGCCUGGGCCUGGGCAUGGCAAGGAGGGGACAAGAGGCCAUGUCCCAGGCUGCCAGGGAAGUGUGCGGUGGCGAGGAUGUGCCCAGGCUUACCCUGGGAGUGAACGGUGGCAACAGAAAGGACUCGGCUGGGCCCGCCUGGAGCUCCUGACCUCCCUGCGUCGAGGAACUCGGGAAGUGUGUGGAAGGCCAGCCCACUGCCCGGGACACCUCCGCCACAGCAGGGCACACUGUGUUAGGUUCUUGUUUUGUUUGUUUUAAGAUUCAUUCAUUUAUUUGAAAGGCAGAGGCAGAGAGGGAGUGGUCUUCCAUCCACUGGUUCACUCCCCAGAUGGCUGCACAGAUCCAGAGCUAGGAGUCAGGAGCUUCUUCCUGGUCUCCCACGUAAGUGCAGAGGCACAUGGACCUGGGCCAUCCUCCGCUGCUUUCCCAGGCCACAGCAGAGAGCUGGAUCGGAAGUAGAACAGCCGGGACUCGAACCGGCGCCCACAUGGGAUGUCAGCACUGCAGGCGGUGGCUUUUCUGCUGUGCCACAGUGCCUGCCCCUGUUUGUUUGUUUGUUUUUAAUUAAAGAUUUAUUUAUUUAUUUGAAAGGCAGAGUGACAAGGAGAGAGAAAGCAAGCACACUUCCAUGUGCCCGUUCACUCCCCAGAUGGCUGCAAUGGCCAGGGCAAGGCCAGGCCAAAACCAGGAACCUAGAAGUCCAUCUGGGUCUCCCACAUGAGAGACUUGGCCAUCUUCUGCUUUCCAGGCGCAGUAGGAAGGAACAGGAUCAAAGUGGAGCAGCUGGGACCCCAAUGGUGCUCAUAGGGAUGCUGGCGUCACAGGCAGGAGCUUAACUGUGCCAAAAUGCUGGUGUGCUGGUGUGUCUGUCAUUCAAGAAAUUGCCACAGGGCCCGGGGCUGUGGUACAGUAGGUAAAGCCGCCACCUGCAGUGCCGGCAUCCCAUAUGGGCGCUAGCUUGAGACCCAGCUGCUCCAAUUCCGACCCAGCUCUCUGCUGUGGCCUGGGAAAGCAGCAGGAGAUGGCCCAAGUCCUUGGGCCCCUGCACCCACCUGGGAGACCUGGAAGAAGCUGCAGGCUCCUGGCUUUGGAUCGGUGCAGCUCUAGCUGUUGCGGCCAAAUGGGGAAUGAACCAGCGGAUGGAAGACCUCUCUCUCUCCCUCUCCUCCUCUGUGUAACUCUGACUGUCACAUAAAUAAAUAAAUCUUUUAAAAAAAGAAACUGCCGCAAAGGUAGCAGCUUAGAAAAGCACAAAUAUAUUAGCCCACAGCUCGGUGGCUCCGAAGGCUGGGCAGUUCUCGUGUUCUUGCGCACUCACCAGGCUGAGAUACAGGCACGGCAGGGCAGGGCUGUUACCUGGAGGCGGGGGAGGAACGUUCCCAAGCCCCCUCAGGGUAUUGGCGAGGGGUCUGAGGCUCCCGUCUCCUGCGGCUGCCCACGGCUCUACCAAAGCCAGCGGAGGAGACGUUCAUGCCUCACACUUGCCUGACCUCCAGGAAAACAGGUGGACAGGGCCCAGAGUGUUGGCCCAUCUGUGUGCCCCACACCCAGCCCUGCCCAGAGCCGAGGAGGAGGGGCGGACACCUCUGCCUCAAGUCGGAAGGGUAGGGCUGUGUGCAGAUCCCCUUUGGGGCCAGGAGGCUGAAGGGCCAGCAUCACCCACCAGCAUCAGAGACUGAGGUGCGCCCGAAUCCAGGGGCUGUAUGCGGCCACGUUGGUGUAGACGCCGGGACGGUUGGGCAGGGCGCAGCCCUUGCCCCAGCUCACCACGCCCACCAGGACCCAGUGCCCAGACUGCACGCAGGUCAGGGGUCCUCCAGAGUCCCCCUGCGAGAGAAGAAGGACCAGCCUAGGUCCCAGUCCUCCCCCGACUUGGGAGUUUUCCUGACCCCAAGCCCCUGGGCGGGUGACUGGGACAGAGUGUAGAGGUGACACCUGGGACCUGGGUUCUAGGAGGUGGGGUGCUGAGUACAGGGGUGUGGACUCCAGAGGCUCAGAGGCGAGCGCACACCUGGCAGGCAUCCUUGUGGCCUUCCUGGUAGCCGGCGCACAGGGUCCCGGGCAGCACGAUGCGCUCGGCCUGGGGCACCCCAGUGCCCAGGUGGUAGAGGCGGUCACAGUCCUGCGCGUCCAGCAGCGGCACCCUCACUCCCUGCAGGGGCCGCCACGCAGGGAGCGGCACUAGGGGCAGAGGGGGGCCUUCUGAGAGCCAUAGGCCAAGGUAUGAGGCUGGGGUCCGUGGCAGAAGCUGAGCCUGAGAGGCCGGCCUGCCAGGCGGGUCUCCCGGUUCCAGCUAGGAAGGCUCAGUGUCCAGAAGUCGCGUGGGGUCCCAGAUUGGGGCUGGGAUUUCCAGUCCGGUGGAGGAGUGGGAGGCUCCCCCAACGCCCCCAGGUCUCACCUCCUGGGUGGAGGCUGCCCCAGCCGGUGACCCAGCACGGGAAGCCGAUGGGCAGGCGGGCGCCGGGCUCGGGCAGGCAGACAGGCUGGACGCGGGCACUCACGGGCACCGGGCGCCGCAGCUGCAGCAGCGCCAGGUCUCCACGGGCCGCGUCCUCGGAGUAGUCGGGGGCCAGCAGCACCCGCAGCACAGGAGCGGAGAGCGCGCGGGGCGAGGUGGGGGCCAGGCGCAGCGCCCCCAGGCGCACACGGUACUCGGACGGCAGCACCCGCCUGCAGGAGCAGAACUGCUCAGCAGCAACGCCGCGACCCCACCCGCUCCCUGGGAUCAGCCCCGCCUCACACCUCCACGCGCCCACUGGGCCCGCGCGCUGGCCGCAGACCUGGGGAAGCAGUGCGCCGCCGUCAGCACCCACUGCAGGGCGAUGAGCGCAGCCCCGCACACGUGCGCCCCCCGGCGCUGGAUGCUCGCCUGCCAGGGCCACUCCCCUUCCCGGGCGUCUCGGCCCCCCACGAUCCGAUUGGGUAUGCGAGGCUGGCCGCAGGCUGCGAGGAGAUGAGGGGCAGUGAGGGUGGCCCGAGGACUGAGGCCUGGGGCAGUGCGGUGGGAGGGGGAGCCCCCCUCCUUACCUGCCCGCCCUGGCGACUCGGCAGCUCCUGGAGGGAAGCAGGAAAGGUUGUGGAUUAAGGUUUCCGCGGCAGGUCAGAGAUUACGGAGGGCUGACCUAGUGCCAGGCUUUGUGCAGAGAUGUGAGUUAACUCGCCCAGAGCACUGCGGGUGCCGUGGGCUUAAACCCACGGCACAGAGCAGCACACAAGGGUUCGGAGAGCACCAGGUCAGUGGCUGCCAAGACGGGAGCCCUUGGAGUCGACCGGAAGGCCCAAGGGUGCUGUCCUGGAACCAAGGCUCUGAGCCAGCCACACCCCACCGUCCCUCCACCCGGCCCCUGCUCACCUAGCACCACCAGGAGCAGAACCCACAGGUGCGAAGCCCCCUCCAUUCUGCCUUCGGAGCUGGGAAAGGACAGGGAUGCCCAGACCUUGGGCUGUGGGCUGGAGCCUCAGGAAGAAGGCGGGAGUGCCCUUACAUUGGGACACAAGCCCCUCACCUCUCCCCACCCCCGCCCCCACCCCACCCCCAGCCCGCUCUCAGUUCCUGAUUGGUCCUGGACUGUGCCUGUGACCCAGGCUCCAGACCCUUUCCUCUGCCUGGGGACCACCUCUGCGUGUGCAGCCCCUGCCCCCAUACUUGGACAUGGGGCAAAGGCCUCUCCCGUUUCGGCUGCUGAUACUUGCCCUUGUCCAGCUGGCAGCCCUGGACAGCCUGGCGCCCUCUGUGCUUACUGGGCCUGGGGGGAGGCUUGGGGGCUUAAAGGGCAGGAGGGCGGAGGCCCAGCCAGGGGGUCAUUGCCGGGGCGGGGCUGCGGCUUCACCUGACCAGCCUCAAACAAAGAGUCUUUGAACAGUGCUACAGGACGGACCCCCGGGUGUCUGAAGGAAGCCUCCCUUGGGACAAGGCACUGAGAAGGGGGCGGGGACUGUGGUCUGGCUGGUCUCUGAACCUGCUCCUGCUCCUGCUCCCGCUCCCGGCAGGGUUGGGCUCUGGGGCUGAGCCUGGCCAGCCCAACUGGCACAGAGACCCCAGGCUGGCCAGGGCUCACAGUGGUUCACAGUGGACAGAUUGUGGACUUGACCAAGGACAGGAGCAGAUAUGACCUUGAGAAACAAUCCACCCUCUGUUUUGGGGUGGCCAGGACAGAGCUAGGCUGAGCAGCCAGGGACAGGGGACAGGGACUGCCGAGCCGUGGGAGAGCUGGAGCCAGGAUGGAGCCCGGGGCUGGCAAGUGCCCUCCGGUUCCCCCAACUACCCAGAACUUUCUCUGACCAAUCACCCCCUCUCACUUGCUCUCUGGGGGCCUCCCUGCCUGGGCCCUGGACUUGAGAUUGAUGUCUGUUGAUGACCCUCACGAGACUGGAGCCGGGUCCAUGCCCGGAGGAGGCUUAAACAACAGAAUUCAUUUCUCGUGGUUCUGUUGGGGCCCGAGGGGCCCAACCCAAGAAAAGACUGGCAAUCGGGAGCUGAGAUGCAGCUAAGGGUUCGCGAGGAGUAAGAUUGAUCCGCCAGGUGAAAUUACACACGCAGGGUGUGUGCAGAGAUCUCAGGGCAGUUUUCCAGAAGGGAAGGCGGGAUCUCCAGGGGUUUGAGGGCUGCCUGACACCGGGACAGGUGUCGGGUUCAUGCUGGGAGUGGGCGUGUCAGCGGGGCCCAGGGCCUGGUGGAGACGCAGUCAGCAGCCAUGUUGGAGGUUUUCAGCUGGCGCCAGUCUGGGCAGUGCCGACUUGAGGCUGCAGGCCCGGGGUGGGGGAGCGGGGGUCUUAGAGGCAGCUCGGGAAAGGGUGUGGUGACUUCCUCCAGCUCUUUCUGGCCCCUACCUGUUUCCUUACCUGGAACAGAUCAAGGGGCCAGUAAAGUGGAUUCCCUUCCUAGGCAGGGGGAAAAAGAGGCUGCGCCUUCCCUCUUCUCCCUUAGAAGCUCCGCGGCUCCAGGGCAUCGGCAGGAGAAUCUGCACUCGGUCAGCCCCGGGCUGCAGGUGGGGGGCGCUCAGGCUUCACACCUGAGUUUUUGGAGGGGACUUAGUGUUCAGAUCUGACAGUCACCAGUGGGCAGAGCUGGCCCUGAGGACUUGGGAGUGAGUGAACUGGGCUGCACAGGCAGCAGGCAGGGCCGAGGCUGAAGGCAAGUGAGAGGGAGGCACAGCUCUGAGCUCGCUGUCCUGCGCCAGGAGCACAGCCCCACCCCCAGUCUGCCCUGUCCCCACUGACACCCGGAGCCACUGCCAUGCUCGGAUUGUCUGUUCCUUGUUCAUUUCUGUCUUUGCAGACACAGAACCCCUGCGACCCCAGCCCCCACUGCUCCCCAGGGGCUGUCACACUGGCCCCGCUCGCUCUCCUCCACCCGUCCAAUUACAUCGGCAUCACGAACCUCAGACGUUGCCAGGGCCCCUGAACGCACUCUGUUCCAAAAUCACGUGGACUCAGUCAUGCCUCGGACGCCCCAGCCCCUGGCCUCAAGCUGGCCCUGUGUGAACCGGCCCAGUCUCGCCAGACAGGAUGCCCUGGCCGCCAACAGACCACACACAGGGCAGAGGCAUGGACAUCCUGUACAGCUGAGAGGAACUGGUGACUCCACCCCGCUGGACGGGUCCUGCCCAGAAGGAGCCUGCAGCCCAGGACCCUCACGGGGAGCCAGGCAGGGAGGACACAGACCUGCCGCCCCCAAGUGGCGCCGAGCGGCUCCCAGGCUCCCACAGCCUCCCCUGCCAUCUGCUCCAGCUCUGCACCUUCCCGGGCCCUGGGACCACCCUCAGCACGAGCAGGGCGGGAUUCCAGAGAGAGCCAACCGCCCCACCUGCUCUGUCCUGGGGGAGCCAAGGCCGAGGGCCCAGCAGGACGGCAACUCAGUCGCCCACGGGGGGACCUCCUCGUCCCUGCAAACGCAUCAGCAUUGCUGCCUCCCCUGCCUCUUCCUCCCCGUGAUUCCCGGGAACCACCUCCCACUGCACACCUGCACCCCGUCCUGAGCCAGGCCAGCCUCUGGGGCCCAUGGCAGGAGCAGCGGUGUCCGGGGCUUCUGUGGUGGGGACAGGGGAAUGGGGCCUCGGGAGCAUGUGCCCCCGCCCCCAGCCACCUGGAGCCAGGCCUGCGCUGCCAUCUUUAUCUUCCUGCCUGCACGCACUGGAGGGGGCUCUCCUGGUUCAACCAGAGCGUGACUGUCGGGGGACAGAGGUUUGGGAGUGGGGGGACUGUCUUGGGCUGGAUGGACUUGGCUGAACAGAGGGAGUUGCUCAUGAAGACGCUGGCUCUGCACAAACCUUAGAGUGACAGCUGGGGUGCCCACACAGGUUUAUUAGCAAAUGAGACACAGAGGAUAGGAGCCAGGUCCACAGGCAGUCCCCACCCCAGCCCUGGGUGCCUACAGCCCCGGGGAAGGGGCUGGCGCUGGGGCACCCAGCACACCCUCAUAGGUGUGGGGGGUGGGGUGGGCGGCUCAUGCUGCCCACAGAACCCAGGAAGCACAGCGCAGAGCCAGCAGCAGCAGAGUAGGGGAGGGGUCCGGCUUGGGCACACCAGCCACCAACUUUAUCCACUUGAAGUGCUGGCUGACAUUGGUAUAGACACCGGGCCGGGUGCGUAGCCCACAGCCCUCUCCCCAGCUCACGAUUCCGACCUGGUACCAGAUUCCAUCGAUGUCACAGACCAAGGGUCCCCCUGAGUCGCCCUGGGGAGCAACGUGGUGAGCAUGGCCUGGGGCAGGGAGGGGGGGCGGGAGAGCAGGAGGUGCAAGUUCCCCUCCCAUGCAGCGGGCACGCCUCAGCUUCUGCAUCUGCAAAGUGGGCCAGCAGCACCCGGGCCUGGCGUGAGGAGGAGGAGAGGACUGUGGAAGGAGGUGGUUUGCCCCUGCCACUGCUCUCAUGCAGGCACUGCAGCUGGGGGCGGGGAGGGGGCUGGGACGGCAGGGAGUGGGGUUUACUCACACCACAGGUGUCUGCCCCGCCGCCUUCUCGGCCAGCACAGAUCAUGUCAUCCCAGACAAAAUAGCGUACAGCGGGCAGUGAGUAGAGGUGGUUGCACCAGGUGUUGUUGAUGAUGGCGAGCUGCACUUCCCGGAGGUUGUAUGGAGGGGGUAUCUCGGCUGGAGGUGGAACAAAGAGCACCCUUCGCCUGUCCUGUGCCAUCCAGGGCAGGGGAGAGCGAGGGUCCCCCGACACUCAGUUCCCCAUUGGCACAAAGAUGAUGGCCCCUGCCUGAGGGUGCCUGGACUGGCCAUGCAAUUUCCCCCAACCCUGGCUUUUGGUGCCCACGGUCCCUGGCGAGGCCCAUGUGGGAUCCUGCCCUGCAGGUGGGGGCCCGAGGAAAGCAGGUGCAAAGAGCUCCCGGGCCCCAGAGGGCACCAAGGGGCUGCUGGGCCAGCUGUGGCGGGAACAGGGUGUCCAGGACAGCGCCCCCUCCCCCCCAUGUUGUGCCGGGCUCACUGCCGUUGUCUGAGAUGAAGCCCCAGCCAGUGGCCCAGCAGUCGUGCCGGUGCUGGAACAUGGCAGUGGAGGAGAGCACGCAGACGGGCCGGGUGUUUGGGGUGUAGUACACGCGGGAGGCCAGCUGCAGCAGGGCGAUGUCGUGCCGCAGGCGAGUGCUUCGGGGGUGAAUGAUGAUCUUCUUCACUCUGUAUGAGACGCCUAUGUAUGUCCUGAAGCGCUCUGGAAACGACCCACUCCUCAGCUGACCCACCUGGACCCGCCAGCUGUCCACAUCUGCGUACCUGGCAGAGGAGAGCGCUCUCAGGCCUGCGCAGCAGCGCCACCCCCUGGGCACAUGGGGCCAUGCAGGGAGGUGACACUGACUGGGGGUUGCCACACCGGCCUUCCCACAAGCCACCAGCAAGUCCAGCUCACAGACUGCCACCACCACGUCCAGAGCCUGGGGACCCGGAGGGGACGGGGCUUCCUCCCCUCCCCCUCAUCUCGUCACCGCACAGAGCUGUCCUAGGACAGGGACACUGCGCCCAGCCCUCCAGUGAGCCUCUGUGCAGCCAAAAAGGAGCUGGCAGAGGAGGCCACCAGGGUGGGCACUGGGCAGGGUGGAGGCAGCUGGGUGCCCAGCCCCCAGCCCACCUCAGCUCAUGCCUCCCCCACCUUGGUCCACACCUGCUGAGGGGGAAUCGGGGUGGAAGCCCACCUUGCGGUUUGUAAGGCAAAAGGACGAUGCCCCCAAGGUGCAUGGGAUUGUUCUGAAAGAACAUUCUGGAACAACAUGCCCGGGGUUCCCUCCAGGGAAUCUCUUGUGGGUGUGAGCGUGCAGGCCCUCCUUGAGGCUGUGGGGAACUCCAGGUCUCCAUGGCCCUGGCGCCAGAGGAGAGGCCAGCUGCGGGGGCCCCAGCCUGAGCACUUCCUCGCCCCGCCCCCAGCGCGCCCCCCACUCACUUUGCGAAGCAGUGCGCGGCUGACAUCACCCAGCGGCGGUUCAGCAAGGACCCGCCACAGACUUGUUUCUUCUCCCUAAUCAGGCUGACCAUCCAGGGCCAGCGCCCGCGGGCCGACUCCACCCCGCCCACGAUCAGCGGCUUAUUUUCCCGCUCUCCGCAGGGCUCUGGGAUGGAGAGAGCGACGCGCACUGAGGGCAGCCACAGCCCAGCCCGCCCACCCUCGCCCCGGGUGUGUGAAGACCCGGGAUCCCGGUAGAAGCGCGCGCCCCCGGGUCGCCCCGCUGGGGAAGGAGGUGACACCGGACCCUCCCCGCACAGCCCGCCCCGCCCCCGGGCCCGUCGGUUACUUGAGAACAGCCUGGUGUUCAUGGGACCUGCAGCGGAGGAGAGGAGGGUGAGGCGUCCCGCGCACCCGCACCCCCGCACCCCCGCACCCGGCCCGGCGGCUCCGCGCAGCGCGUCCUGCGCGCCCUACCUGCCAGCGGGUCCCAAAUCCGCGAUUCUGCGCGGAGAAGAGCAGGUGAGCUCCCUGGCGUCCACGCUCCCCGGCCUCCCCCCAUGCCCUCGGGUCCCCCCGCGGCGACCCCAGCUCACCCGGCUCCUGGGGUGCGCCCCGCGCCAGCAGCAGCGCCAGCAGCAGCGUCCUAGCCCCCGCGCCCAUGGCUGCUCUGCACCUGGGCGCCCCCUCCGCUUCCUCCCGCUCUGGCCGGGCCAGGCGCCCCCUGGGGGGAGAACAGGGGUGGGAGCCGCCAAGGCACCCCAGGAGACCCUGUCCUCCCCGGACCUCGCAGGACCAAGGGCUGGCUGGGGACCUCAGGCCUCCCAGCUCCCGGGGUCCCCAGCACACUCCCUGAGACCGCCCAGAACCAGGGACCCCAACAAGCCUUCUGCACCUCAGGCUCCCACGUUGCGGGAAGAUCCUUCAGGUGGCGCAUCUUCAUGCAGUAGGGGCUGUGGCUUGGGACAAGGUGGGGGCCGGGGAGGCAUCCCGCCAGAGCUUCUCCCACCUCCUUGUGGCCACAGGGUUUUGGGCUCCUUGCAAAAUGGCCCAUCUGCCUGAGCACUGAGAAAGCCCACCCCAGGCUGCUCCGCUGGACUGGCCCUUUCCCUCCCAUGACCUGGGUGAGGGGAAGUCUGCCUCCUGGAGGCUCUGAUGAGAGCACACUGCCUCGCCGUUUCCAUCCUCACCGGCAACAGUGGCUGAUGGGCUCUGCCUGCUUCUGGCAGUUAGGACCCUGUGGUUACACUGGGCCCAUCCGGGUGGAGAAGAAAUGAACUGCGAUGCUAACCGCAGAAGGAAGUUCCGAGGGACCGGCCCGGCGGCCCAGAGGUUAAGCUGCUGCUUGCGACUCCAGUAUCCCAUGAAAUGAAACAGACCAAUGGGUGGGGAAAGGAAACCGCCAAUCAAGUUCCAUUUCUGGGGCCUGGCCCCACCCCAGGAAGAAAACCCCGGGUCGCGGAAGCAGCCGUCACCAUUUUCCUGAGCCCUGCGAAGUUUGAGCAAGAUGGUUGCUGGAGCGAUCCCCAUGGUCCAGAUCUUCUUGGGAUUUGGGAGCAUCAGCUUUUCUGGCCCCGUGGCCUGGCUCAUCACUGGCGUGGUCGCUGGUGUCAUUCUGAUGUGGGAGGUGGUCGCUGUUGUCAUUCUGAUGAGGGAGUAUAAAAAACUCCACCACAAAAUGGAGUAACGGGACCCCGCCCACCCUGGAGGGCAGCUCCUGGCAAACAAGCCAGAUUUUUGAAACAGGCAUUAAAAGCAGAAUGACUGAGUA